RNAcentral lists this ribosomal RNA (1349 nucleotides) under Actinomycetes bacterium. RNAcentral's name for it is "bacterial SSU rRNA". It matches the Rfam family "Bacterial small subunit ribosomal RNA", at positions 81 to 1444 of the family's 1533-position model. Lineage: Bacteria; Bacillati; Actinomycetota; Actinomycetes. The record is from RNAcentral.
UUCGGGGUACACGAGCGGCGAACGGGUGAGUAACACGUGGGUGAUCUGCCUCGCACUCUGGGAUAAGCCUGGGAAACUGGGUCUAAUACCGGAUAUGACCACGGAUCGCAUGGUUUGUGGUGGAAAGAUUUAUCGGUGCGAGAUGGGCCCGCGGCCUAUCAGCUUGUUGGUGGGGUAAUGGCCUACCAAGGCAACGACCGGUAGCCGACCUGAGAGGGUGACCGGCCACACUGGGACUGAGACACGGCCCAGACUCCUACGGGAGGCAGCAGUGGGGAAUAUUGCACAAUGGGCGAAAGCCUGAUGCAGCGACACCGCGUGAGGGAUGACGGCCUUCGGGUUGUAAACCUCUUUCGACAGGGACGAAGCGCAUGUGACGGUACCUGUAGAAGAAGCACCGGCCAACUACGUGCCAGCAGCCGCGGUAAUACGUAGGGUGCGAGCGUUGUCCGGAAUUACUGGGCGUAAAGAGCUUGUAGGCGGUUCGUCGCGUCGAUUGUGAAAACUUGCAGCUCAACUGCAAGCUUGCAGUCGAUACGGGCGGACUACAGUACUUCACGGGAGACUGGAAUUCCUGGUGUAGCGGUGAAAUGCGCACAUAUCAGGAGGAACACCGGUGGCGAAGGCGGGUCUCUGGGAAGUAACUGACGCUGAGAAGCGAAAGCGUGGGUAGCGAACAGGAUUAGAUACCCUGGUAGUCCACGCCGUAAACGGUGGGUACUAGGUGUGGGUUCCUUCCACGGGAUCCGUGCCGUAGCUAACGCAUUAAGUACCCCGCCUGGGGAGUACGGCCGCAAGGCUAAAACUCAAAGGAAUUGACGGGGGCCCGCACAAGCGGCGGAGCAUGUGGAUUAAUUCGAUGCAACGCGAAGAACCUUACCUGGGUUUGACAUACACCAGAAAGCCGUAGAGAUACGGCCCCCCUUGUGGUUGGUGUACAGGUGGUGCAUGGCUGUCGUCAGCUCGUGUCGUGAGAUGUUGGGUUAAGUCCCGCAACGAGCGCAACCCUUAUCUUAUGUUGCCAGCGCGUAAUGGCGGGGACUCGUGAGAGACUGCCGGGGUCAACUCGGAGGAAGGUGGGGACGACGUCAAGUCAUCAUGCCCCUUAUGUCCAGGGCUUCACACAUGCUACAAUGGCCGGUACAGAGGGCUGCGAUACCGUGAGGUGGAGCGAAUCCCUUAAAGCCGGUCUCAGUUCGGAUCGGGGUGUGCAACUCGACCCCGUGAAGUGGGAGUCGCUAGUAAUCGCAGAUCAGCAACGGUGCGGUGAAUACGUUCCCGGGCCUUGUACACACCGCCCGUCACGUCAUGAAAGUCGGUAACACCCGAAGCCGGUGGCCUAACCCUUG